AGUCUUAUAUUCAAAAUGAUAUAAAAUUGCAAAUUUUAAGGUGUAUUUAAAUACUAAGGCUU
Molecule: transfer RNA, 62 nt
Filed under: Symbrenthia lilaea
Lineage: Eukaryota; Metazoa; Arthropoda; Insecta; Lepidoptera; Nymphalidae
Description: tRNA-Cys
Source: RNAcentral